CUCGCUCCAGUGCUUAUACUCGUCGCUACUUGGUCCAUGUGUGGCGCCCCUGAUUCAGUCAUACACUAAUCAUACACGCAAACAUGUACGAUCAAGAUCAGGGACUCACGAAAAGAUAUCACAACACAACUCUAAAAAAAAUAAGUCAUACAAGCAUCAUAAUACAAGCCAGGGGCCUCGAGGGCUCGAAUACAAGUGCUUGAUCAUAGACGAGUCAGCGAAAGCAACAAUAUCUGAGUACAUAUAUAAGUUAAACAAGUUUACCUUAAGAAGACUAGCACAAACUGGGAUACAGAUCAAAAGAGGCGCAGGCCUCCAGCCUGGGAUCCUCCUAAACUAGUCCCGGUCGUCGUCAGCGGCCUGCACAUAGUAGUAGGCACCUCCGAUAUAGUAGGAGUCGUCGUCGACGGUGGCGUCAAGCUCCUGUGCUCCAGCAUCUGGUUGCGACAACCAAGUAGAAUGGAAAGGGGGAAAAGAGAGAGAAAAGCAAUCGUGAGUACUCAUCCAAAAUACUCGCAAGCAAGGAUCUACACUACAUAUGCAUGGGUAUAUGUGUAAAGGGGCAAUAUCGAUGGACUGAACUGCAGAAUGCCGGAAUAAGAGGGGGAUAACUAGUCCUGUCAAAGACUACGCUUCUGGGAGCCUCCAUCUUGCAGCAUGUAGAAGAGAGUAGAUGGUAAGUUCACCAAGUAUCAUCGCAUAGCAUAAUCCUACCCAGCGAUCCUCCCCUCGUCGCCCUAUGAGAGAGUGACCACUAGGUUGUAUCUGGCACUUGGAAGGGUGUGUUUUAUUAAGUAUCCGAUUCUAGUUGUCAUAAGGUCAAGGUACAACUCCAAGUCGUCAUGUUACCGAAGAUCACGGCUAUUCGAAUAGAUAAACUUCCCUGCAGGGGUGCACCAUAUUUUCCAACACGCUCGAUCCCCUUUGUCCGGACACACUUUCCUGGGUCAUGCCCGGCCUUGAAAGAUCAACACGUCGCAGCCCCACCUAGGCACAACAGAGAGUUCAGCAUGCCGGUCUAAAUCCUAUGGCGCAGGGGUCUGGGCCCAUCGCCCAUUGCACACCUGCACAUUGCGAACGUGGCCGGUGAGCAGACCUAGCCUCCCUUAUACAAGAGCAGGCGUUCCAGUCCAACCCGGCGCGCGCCGCUCAGUCGCUGACGUCACGAAGGCUUCGGCUGAUACCACGACGUCGAGUGCCCAUAACUGUUCCCGCGUAGUUGAUUAGUGCAUAUAGGCCAGUAGCCAGACUCAGAUCAAAUACCCAGAUCUCAUUAAGCGUCUUAUUUUAAAUUAAUCGUGAAUGCAGUAAUAAUAAGCUAUGUAUCAGAAUAGGAUUAACAGAAAGCAGUAACAUGCUACACUACUCUAAUGCAAAUAGUAUAGAGAAAAGUAGGCGAUAUCUGGUGAUCAAGGGAGAGGGGCUUGCCUAGUUGCUCUGGCAAGAGAGAGGGGUCAUCAACACCGUAGUCGAACUGGGUCGCCGACAGUCUCGGGGUCUACCGGAAAGAAAUAACGGAGGGGGAACAUAAUAAAUAACAAAGCAAUCAAAGUAACACAAAGUAUAACAUGGCAAUACGCGGUGCUAGGGGUGAUCUAACGCAGGGAUAGGUGAUACCAGCAAAGGGAGGAAACAUCCGCGAAAGUAUUCCCAGUGUUUGACAUUUUCGGACGGAUGGUUCGGAGGGGGAAAGUUUGUAUGUUCGCUAUGCUAGGAACGCGUGGCGGAUGAACGGACCACGUAUUCAGAUUCGUCUCGUCGUUCUAAGGAACUUUCAUCCGAAUUACGGAUUAUUUUAUAUUAAUUUUCAAAGUCUUAAUUAAUUUUCUGAAAUUUAUUUAUGCUUCAAAAAUAAACAGUAAAAUAACUUUGUCACCUAGUGCUAUUGUAGCCAUAGUGUAUGACAGGUGGGGUCAGUGGGGCUGGGUUGACCCGGUCAGAGGGUGACUGGUCAGCAUAUGAAUAGUGUAAGUCGGUCCCGCAUGUCAUUGUCUUUAGUUUAAUAAAAUGGUAAUUAACCAGGGUGGUCCCACAUGUCAUUUACACUAUACCUAACCACUACUUUGCCUAACUACUAAUUAGCUACUAACCUAAACAGGGCCGGUCUCAUCCAGAGACCCAGCCGGCCAUACCCACACACUCACGCACACACAACAACACACACAGACACACACACACACAUGGCCGCUUGGCCAUGGCCAUGGCCACCGGUAGCAGCUGUUCGCGACAGGCAGCGGCGCCGGCGAGCAGCGGCAACACACAACGGGAGCAGCAGUUAAAAGCAGCAGCAGGAGGAGGAAACGGCAGCAGCGUAGCCGCAAGUAGGCAGCAGGAGCAGCAGCUACGGGAGCAGGGGGCACGGACGUUGCGGGCGCGGAGCAGAGGGCAGCGGGCCGGGGCGAGGCUGCACGCAGGAGGCAAGGCCGAUUCAGGGGGCGGCCGAUGGCAGCAACAUCGCAGUAGCCACCAGCGGGGCGAGCAGGGGGCGCCGAGGCGCAGCAGAGGCGGCCGGCCGGAGUUCAGGCAUGCCGCGGAAUCGGAGCUGCGGGGCACGGGGAGAUGGUUUGGCGAGUGCCGCGGGUUCCUGGGGAGCCAAUGAGCUCGGACGCAAGCUCUGCUUGCCGUGGCUGCGGUGACGAGGCGAAAGGCGGUGACAAGUUUCGGCCACGACGGAGACUAGCACUAGAGGACGAGCACGAGCAAAUUAGCAGAGGGGAUUUACGGCAGAGCUCACCUAGGAGCUCAUGGAGGCUCGUUGAGUGAACGGGAGCAGCAGGGGUCGAUGGAUUUGGAGACGAACGCCGACGACAGCAGAGGGGGACUCGGUCGAUCCCGGCGCGGUGGCGAUCUUCUGCUCGGGUUCGGGGUCGGAGAGGAAGAAGCGGGCAACGGCGGUGCUUCCAGGGGUAGUCCUAGGCGGCGGGGAGGUCGCUGGCCACGCAGGCGAUGGCGACCAUGGCGACGGAGGUCUCGGGACGUCGCGGGGAAGAAGAAGCGGCGUGGGUGGAGGGGGAAAGUGGGGUUAGGGUUCGACCACGG
RNAcentral lists this long non-coding RNA (3039 nucleotides) under Triticum aestivum (bread wheat). RNAcentral describes it as "long non-coding RNA (TAES_LNC015056)". Lineage: Eukaryota; Viridiplantae; Streptophyta; Magnoliopsida; Poales; Poaceae. The record is from RNAcentral.